RNAcentral lists this ribosomal RNA (468 nucleotides) under uncultured bacterium. Its description in RNAcentral is "partial 16S ribosomal RNA". It matches the Rfam family "Bacterial small subunit ribosomal RNA", at positions 28 to 507 of the family's 1533-position model. The record is from RNAcentral.
GACGAACGCUGGCGGCGUGCUUAACACAUGCAAGUCGAACGGAAAGGCCCUGCUUUUGUGGGGUGCUCGAGUGGCGAACGGGUGAGUAACACGUGAGUAACCUGCCCUUGACUUUGGGAUAACUUCAGGAAACUGGGGCUAAUACCGGAUAGGAGCUCCUGCUGCAUGGUGGGGGUUGGAGAGUUUCGGCGGUUGGGGAUGGACUCGCGGCUUAUCAGCUUGUUGGUGGGGUAGUGGCUUACCAAGGCUUUGACGGGUAGCCGGCCUGAGAGGGUGACCGGCCACAUUGGGACUGAGAUACGGCCCAGACUCCUACGGGAGGCAGCAGUGGGGAAUAUUGCACAAUGGGCGGAAGCCUGAUGCAGCAACGCCGCGUGAGGGAUGACGGCCUUCGGGUUGUAAACCGCUUUCGCCUGUGACGAAGCGUGAGUGACGGUAAUGGGUAAAGAAGCACCGGCUAACUACGUG